Molecule: long non-coding RNA, 2167 nt
Filed under: Xyrichtys novacula (pearly razorfish)
Lineage: Eukaryota; Metazoa; Chordata; Actinopteri; Labriformes; Labridae
Source: RNAcentral
UGCUGAUUUUGCUUAACCAGCUCUCAAGUAGCUGUCAACAGAGAGCACUAAGGAUUGCAAGGCUGCACUCAGACUAACACAGUCUGAAUGAAUGGCUUCACGAACAGCCGUUGGGAUGCUUUGCCAGUGCCUUCCCCGGCUCAAGGACAUUUGACAGAGUAGACAGCUUUGUUCUUUCCCGUUUUACCAGGUGGGUGCGUCAUGGGCAUGCUGAUUUCAGAUGCCCGUCCCUGGAGUAACUUGGCUUCUCCGAGUAGUAGGCUUAGAGAGGCUUGGGUGGUUGGCAUGUAGCCACAGUUUUAGGGCACCGAUUAGAGGUGUGGGCAGGGGUGGACAAGGUAGGAUAAGGUUCCUCCAGGUACUGUACCCGUAGACUUUGUACAAGAGGAGCACACCCAAGUUAAGCGAGUUGCUGACUCCGAUGCCACAGUAUCAUCAUCUGCUGUAUCUCUCUCUUAAACAUAAAAUUAUUAUUAUUAUUAUUAUUAUUAUUAUUAUUAUUAUUAUUAUUUUCCUCUGCAUUUUGUCUUAUUUCUGCAUUAAGAUUGAAGCAGCUGACUCUUUAAAAGUUCCCUCCUUCUGCAAAAGGCGGAAGGCGGGCCCCUGCACCUAGGCAACCAGCGUCCAAUCAAAAGUGCGCACUGGUGCUCCCACUUGGAGUUUAUUUGUAAGCAAAUACCACUCACUCUCAAGCGGCAUGGUCCUAUUGGAUUACUUCGGUUAUAACGCAGAGUGCAGACUGAUGUGCAGCAACAGACUAAGCCUAGAUACAUGACAGGGGUGAAAACUUUAAACAGCUGAUUAUGUCUUCCCGAAAUGGCGUACUGCUGCGUAAUGGCUUACUUUCACCUCCAGGUGAGAGAAAGACCCGCAGAUUAAGCAGGAAAAAGCUUGAUGCUCGGUGAAUUGUUAACUGAUUAGAGCCAGGUCGACUACGGACUGAUCAAGUCUUUGGCUGAAUCUUUGAAUGUACUUAGCAGCUUUGCUGAAAAUGAUUUGUAAUGUUCCUAGAAUAAUGAUCCUCCCUAUGUCAUGGCUGAAUCAGAAAUAAUGGCGAGAUAUGUGUCCAGUUCAGUUCUGCGUGCUGAAAACACUUUACAUAUGACAUCUACAAAUACGCUGAAAGCUAUGAAUUCAGCCAAGGUCGGAGAUUUAAACAGCCGGGCAUCACGAUAUUUAAGCAUCACAGGCUCAUCUCCGCAAUCCACAAUGCGUCUAUCAUUGUAGUCUGAGCACAGCAAGACUAAUGUCAGUACCUGCAAGGAUUUGGCUCCGCGGAUUAGGUGUAAUUGCAGCCGCGACCAGGUCGCGUCGCGUGGUGCUCUGGUGUGUUCACACCGGGUCCAAAGCUGCGGUCGCAGGACACGGCUGGUCGCUGCUGACCCGCUUCUCCUACCUUCCAUCUCCCUCCUUUUCUCCCUCAUAUAUACAUCCCGCAGCCCAGUUCAAAUAUUUGAACUUUGGUAGCGACGAGACUUGGCGUCCUGCGACCUCGGAAACGCAACUUCGGCAACGCGACGCAGGUAGCCAGCGGUCGCCAAGUCGCGUCAGGUCGCGGCUGUCCAUAGACUUUGCAUUGGGAGCCAUCGCCGACGUCACCGAAGUCGCGUUUGGUCUGAACACCCCUUAACGCUAAGCUUCAUAUUUGGGUAUUGGUUGACUUGAGUUUCUGUGUUUGUUGAACUUGAGUUUGUGACAUGUUUGAACUUGAAUUUGUGGUGUUUUUGAACUUGAGUUUGUGUGUUUGUUGAACUUGAGUUUUAGGCGUGUUUGAACUUGAGUUUGUGUUGUUUUUGAACUUGAGGUUUUGGCAAAUGUUAAACUUGAGAUUUGGGUGUUGGUUGAACUUGAGUUUGUGUCGUAAUUGAACUUGAUUUUUUUGCAAUUUUUGAACUUGAGUUUGUUGAACUUGAGGUUGUGGAAAUUGUUAAACUUGAGAAUUGGGUAUUGAUUGAACUUGAGUUUGUGUGUUUGUUGAACUUGAGUUUGUCUCGUGUUUGAACUUGAGUUUCUGUUGUUUUUGAACUUGAGGUUGUGGCAAUUGUUAAACUUGAGAUUUGGGUGUUGGUUGAACUUGAGUUUGUGUCAUGUUUGAACUUGAGUUUGUGGUGUUUUUGAACUUGAGUAUGUGUGGUUUUUUAACUUAGUUUUGUGGCAAUUGUUAAAC